GAUGAACGCUAGCGGCAGGCCUAACACAUGCAAGCCGAGGGGUGACAUAGAAAAGCUUGCUUUUCUGAUGACGACCGGCGCACGGGUGCGUAACGCGUAUACAACCUACCUUUUAGCGGGGAAUAGCCCAGGGAAACUUGGAUUAAUGCCCCAUAGUAUAUGGACUUCUCCUGAAGUUUAUAUUAAACAUUUAUGGCUAUUAGAUGGGUAUGCGUCCUAUUAGUUAGUUGGUAAGGCAACGGCUUACCAAGGCAGCGAUAGGUAGGGGUCCUGAGAGGGAGAUCCCCACACUGGUACUGAGACACGGACCAGACUCCUACGGGAGGCAGCAGUGAGGAAUAUUGGACAAUGGGCGAGAGCCUGAUCCAGCCAUGCCGCGUGCAGGAAGACUGCCCUAUGGGUUGUAAACUGCUUUUACAGAGGAAGAACCACCCCCACGUGUGGGGGUUUGACGGUACUCUGCGAAUAAGGAUAGGCUAACUCCGUG
This 487-nucleotide ribosomal RNA is filed under the name uncultured bacterium. RNAcentral describes it as "bacterial SSU rRNA". It matches the Rfam family "Bacterial small subunit ribosomal RNA", at positions 28 to 507 of the family's 1533-position model. The record is from RNAcentral.